Molecule: non-coding RNA, 4540 nt
Organism: Tetranychus urticae (two-spotted spider mite)
Lineage: Eukaryota; Metazoa; Arthropoda; Arachnida; Trombidiformes; Tetranychidae
Source: RefSeq, a predicted model, not a curated record
CUUUUGGAUUACCAACUCGAUAUUUACCGUCAGCCACUUUAACCAUUGGAAACUGUGAUGGACAAGUACAUCUGUUGAGUAAAUCAACAACCUGUAACAAAAGAGAGAUAUUGUGUAAAGUGUAAUGUGAUGGUCAACAAAAAAAUGACAGCAAAUGAUUGCGUUGGUUGAAUUUGAUGAUGAUUAUGGUAAAAUAGUUAUUAAUAAAUAACUAAUAAAUAUAUAUGUUGGAUAAAUAUGAAUGAUUAAAGAGAAAAGAUGAAUUAAUGAUCGUUUCUACUACACAAGAAGAGUUAAAAAUUAUAACUAUUAAAUUGUGGACCAGAGAUGAUUAAACUGAACGUGGACAAAGCAAAAUGCAAAAGGAACUUAAAUUGUUGAUCCUGGUAAAACUAGUUUAAUCAUGAUGCUGAUGGUGACGGUGAUGAGGUUAAUCAAGAAACCUGACUUUAAAUAUAAAACACAGAAUCGGAUGUUAUUCGGAUAUGGUGGAAGUGAUAAACUGAAUUCACCCUAAAGGAAGAAGCAAAAUCUGAAGAAUCAAGUUAAUAGUGAAAUCAAGGAACGAAGAAGAAGAAGAAAAAGGAACCUCAAAAGAAGCUAAAUUAACUGCUAAUGGUAACACAGAAUAAUGAUUAUCGUCUUUUAUCAACGGUCUUUUUGCGUCGUAAUUACGUUGAUGAUGAUAAUACUGAUUUUUGUUGGCUUUGAUAGCAAUGAUGAUGUUGCUGUUGCUGCUGAUGAUUAAGUAGGAAAGGCUCACGCAAUCACAAGUAAAAGGAUAAGAUGGUAUUAUUUUAAUUUUGGUGAUUUACUGACCCAAACAAGGUAAUAAUUUUUAUUUAGAAGUUGUUUAGAAAAGAAAUUCAGCGCAUAAUUACAUUAUUUAAAUUAUUAUUAUCAUUAUUUUAGCAAACAGUAGCUUGAAAAUAGGAAUGGCAAAAAAGGAGCGAAAACAAAUUAAAACUGAAAACUGAGUUUCGAUCUUGGACUGUUUCAACCUCAAUUUAGUUUCUGAAAAAUUGUACAGAACUUCAACAAAAUCUUUCGACUGAAUAGAUGAGCAAAGGUGACAUAAAGAAGGCUCAUAUUGAUCAAUUUUACGCCAAAAUUGGCAAUAUUAGCCUUUUGAAAUGAAACUGCAAUUCUUUUGACAAAGACAAAAAAGAGUUAUAAAGGAUCUCAAGAUGAUGAAAAACAUGAAAAGCUUUUCUCUUUCACCUAUUUUAUCAUCUCCAUCAAUUUAUUUAAAUAGCAAGAAUUGAAUUUGUGUUAAAUCUAAAACAAAAAAGACCUUAAACUUUCACAAUUGAAACAGAAUUUACUUUGAUUUUUGUAGCAUAAAAAAAGGUUUAUCUGGUUUCUUUCAUUUUUGUAGUCAUCAAUCCAUGAAAGAUACUUUUCUUGGACUGAAAUACUUUUACUUCAAGAUAUAAAAGGAGCAAUUCAACGAAAGGAGAUCAAAAUACUGAACAAUAUAGCAACAAUAAGGUGAUUUUCGUGGCUUAUCAAUGAAAAACGAGCAAAUAUUUUAAAGCAUUUCAGAGCUUUGAAGUGAUGAUAAAAUAUUGAAAAGAAACCCUUUUUUGUUGAAAAAGACAUUAGGCGAGAAUACAAUUAAACUUAGCAUCUUUGUAAGGACCACUUUUAAUCACAUCAUCAUUAUCAGCCCAUAUAAACAUCAGUAUCAACACCAACAAUGAUGCCAAUAAGGAUGAGUUUAUGUUAAGACAGUUAACAUAAUGAUACACUUGACUCUUUACCUUUUGAUCUUGUUGUUAACCUUUGCUCAACUAACAACAAUAAUUAUCAUUGUUCGAGAAUGUGUUUGUCAAUUGUAACUCUAUUACACACACACACAACAUUUAACAAUGAAAAGCCAGUAUCUUCUGCUUGAUUUUCAACUGUUGUCAAUGAUUAUUGGGAACGGGUUAAUCAAAGUUAAUUUAUCUUCCUUUUACAUCAAUUGCAGCUAAUUGUAGCAAAUAUUUCAAAUUUGAAGACCAUUGAGAAAGAUAAAAUUCAAUGAGGAAGUAGAUAUUCCUUCCCAGAACACUCAAUUGCAAAGUUAAUUAUCCAAAAUCUGGUUGACUGGUUAUUCAGAUUAACGUUGUGAAGUUACCAACAUUAACAUUGAUCCACUGAGAAACAAGAUUCAAUUGUAAACCAAUUAAUGUUGACUAUAAACAAAAUUGUCAAAUCGCUGAAAACCGUUACAAAUUUGGGCGAGCAAUUUGGAUCAGGACAAGAAACAGUCAGUGAUUAACUUAACCAUGAAAAUAUGCAUUACGCAGGUUAAUUAUUUAACAGUGAAAUUUCAUUUUUGCUAAUCUUUCAUCUCUUAUUAUUUAAGGUUACUUGGAUGUCUUAAAAGUCUCACUUGUGAAGCAGUUUCAUACCAAGAAAAAAAACAACCCUUUUUGGGUAUUUAUGUUAAUAUCUAAGAUACCAACUCUUUCAAUCAUCUUUAACCCUGAAAAAUUAUCUCCCCGCUUAAUCAAUGUUUGAUUAAUUUAAAAGCCCAAGCCCCUCUGGUCAUUGAUUGUAUACAGUUUCCCUAGUUAAAUGAAGAUUCCCGAUGAAGAUUAAUCAAAAUUGAUCCAGGAGGAUAACAAUUACAGAAAACAACAAAACAGUUCAACCUAAUUAUGAAUCUAAAUCAUGAUCAAGACUAGAUUUGGAUAGAUGCUGAAAGAGAGACGUUGAACAAUAACCAAAAAAACCAAAUCAUCAUCAUUAACCAAGUCAAAACCAAGUGUGAGCUGAUAAUCAUUUCAACGCCACAUUCAAAAAAAUUCAACCCAAAAAAUGGUACAAAUCCUUGGGAACAAUCAACAUAGAAACCACGCAUUAUUAUGCACAAUCUACUAUGAUAUUCAAGACAAUCAGGCCAAGGUUGGAUACAACUGAAUCAAUUGUUUCUUUAAUAGUUUGUUAAACUGUUAAAAGAAAGCAACCAAAAUGGAUGAAAAUAAUCAUGUUAAUGAUUGUUUUUCAAACAACUAAACAGCAAGUCAAAUUGUUCCUGAUGAUAAUAAGUGAAAAAAGGCAACAAAAAGAUAUUCAUGAUCAACUGAUUGAAAUAUAUUCAGUAAUAAUGCACCAAUAAAUGAAACUCGAGACUACCUUAAAUGGAUGAAAAUUAAAGGCAACAUUUGAUUACCUUGCAGUUUGGAUAGAGCAAAGUCAUGAAAUUAAAUUGCAAACCUGAAACAAGAUGAUCUAAUUAACUUGAUAAUCCUGAUACUCAACUCAUCUCUUCCUGUCUCCAGUGACACAAGAAACUUGAUAUAAAGACCUAAACCUGAUCAAUCCAAAUUCAAUUCAAUUGAAAAUCUCCACGUUUCCCCAAUUCAUUAUCAUUCCAACCUAUUGAUGGUACCAAAUUGUACACAAAAGCUCAUUCCAAGACAAUCAAUAAUCAAAUAUUUGUGAAGGUUAUAAAGUAAACCUAAAAGCAAUAGUCUAGUAAUCAGUUUACCUGGAAAAGCCAAUACAAUCAACAAUCAUUAAAUUGGAAAUAUUGAUGAUUAAAGUAUUAUAAAUAUUUGGAUAUCCGGUUAUAUUAACCUGGUGAAACUGGAAUUAAAUCAUUUUCAAAGGUUACAGGUUACCAAAUGGUUCUUAAAUCACACAACAAAGUGGAAAUGAUCAACUCUAAUUGAAGCUAAAGUUAAACCUGUGUUAAAUUGUAUACAAUCAAGUAACAUACAAUUGUAAAGCAUCUCGAAUCCAGGUUUACCGGUUUAUCAUUGAUUUGGUCAAAAUUGUAAAGCAAACAUGAACCUUUCACUUGAUCCAACAAAUAUUGAUAUCAACAAUCAAUUGACUUGUAAUAUUUAAUCAUCCCAAGUUAUUAAUUAUCAAUUAACUAACUGUAAACAUGUUCAGUAGACCUUGGCUAAUUUAAUUUGCCAUCCAGUCCAUAAUCAACAUUUGCGUGACACUCAUAAAUGUACAGUGUUGUUGGUUUUUGUUAACCAACCAUGUUGUUAUGGGCUUACCAACAUCAACUAAUUGUUGUUUAACAUUUCAUUUCAUCCUUUACUAACCAUAAUGAUAAUAUAAUUAGUUAAUUUGUAAUCCUCAUCAAUUAUAAUAAAAGUUAACUCAAUCAUUACUAAAUCAUUUCAUAAGCAUUAUACUAUUAAAAAUACCUUUUCAAUGAAUUAAGUUAUAAGAGUGACUUUCCUCUUUUUUUGUUUCUUGAUUAAUUUUUAACUCAUGAAAUUAGGUAAAUCAGCUUCUUUAUAAAAUUCAAUAAAACCAAAUGUUAGUCAAAGUCUAAUCUGUUGUGGGUUAAAGUUAAUCAUUCAAUGUGAUUAAAUUGUUCCGUUUCCACUACAAUUGAAAUAACAAUUUUGUAUUCAUACUUUGUGAUAAAAAUGAAAAUUGAAAACGGAACCGAUUGUUGAUUGUCAAGAAAUUGGCGUAAAAAAUCACCCAAUAAUUAAGUCAAUUGACCUGAACCUGAAAAGUCAAUUGAUUGAGAGUAUUAACAAUAAACUCAAUUCACAUCAAAUAGAGUUGAUUUAUAAAA